RNAcentral lists this ribosomal RNA (347 nucleotides) under Aeromonas allosaccharophila. RNAcentral's name for it is "bacterial SSU rRNA". It matches the Rfam family "Bacterial small subunit ribosomal RNA", at positions 18 to 359 of the family's 1533-position model. Lineage: Bacteria; Pseudomonadati; Pseudomonadota; Gammaproteobacteria; Aeromonadales; Aeromonadaceae. The record is from RNAcentral.
UUUGGCUCAGGACGAACGCUGGCGGCAGGCCUAACACAUGCAAGUCGAGCGGCAGCGGGAAAGUAGCUUGCUACUUUUGCCGGCGAGCGGCGGACGGGUGAGUAAUGCCUGGGGAUCUGCCCAGUCGAGGGGGAUAACAGUUGGAAACGACUGCUAAUACCGCAUACGCCCUACGGGGGAAAGCAGGGGACCUUCGGGCCUUGCGCGAUUGGAUGAACCCAGGUGGGAUUAGCUAGUUGGUGAGGUAAUGGCUCACCAAGGCGACGAUCCCUAGCUGGUCUGAGAGGAUGAUCAGCCACACUGGAACUGAGACACGGUCCAGACUCCUACGGGAGGCAGCAGUAGGA